AUGGAGCACACCAAAGCGCCUGAACCCAAACUUUUCCAAAGCGAGGAAGAAACCGGCUCUCUGGGUGAGGAGGAAGCUGACAGGCUGGAUGAAGGGAGCGAAGAUGAAAAUCAAGAGUUUUUCGACGCCCCGGAACCGGCCCCGGGCUCAGCCGCCUUCCUCCCCUCGCCCUUUCCCGAGCAACAGACGUGUGAGCAGGAGACUGCGGAUCCGGCAUACCUCGACUCGGUGUUCGGCGAACUGCCUCCGCAGUUGAGGGUUAAAGCCGACCCCACCUUCACGCGGCCGCCCGGCCCCAAGAGGAGGGCGAAGGUCAAGCACUUGACCCUGUUCCCCAACGCGGAGUGUCCUGACGCCCCUGACAACGAUGGCCCCGGAGUGGUGGAAUGGAGCCAGCGUCCCGGCCAGUGGAAAUGAUCUGGGAAAGGGGCCUGCGUCACUCGACG
This 446-nucleotide long non-coding RNA is filed under the name Ornithorhynchus anatinus (platypus). RNAcentral's name for it is "lncRNA (ENSOANG00000038398.1)". The record is from RNAcentral. Lineage: Eukaryota; Metazoa; Chordata; Mammalia; Monotremata; Ornithorhynchidae.